RNAcentral lists this long non-coding RNA (880 nucleotides) under Homo sapiens (human). RNAcentral's name for it is "non-protein coding lnc-OR8D2-1:1". The record is from RNAcentral. Lineage: Eukaryota; Metazoa; Chordata; Mammalia; Primates; Hominidae.
AUUUUGCUGGAGUUAACAGAUCAGCCAGAUCUCCAACUCCCUCUGUUCUUCCUGUUUCUAGUGUAUGGUCACUGCGUUGGGAAAUUUGGCUUGGUAACUCUCGUUGUGCUCAAUUCACACCUUCAUACCCCCAUGUACUUUUUCCUCUUUAACUUGUCCUUCAUAGAUCUCUGUUAUUCUUCUGUGUUUACACCCCAAAUGCUGAUGAACUUCAUAACACAGAAGGAUAUUAUCUCCCACAUGGGGUGCAUGUCCCAGCUUUUCUUUUUUCUUUAUUUUUUUUUGGUAUUUCUGAAUGCUAUGUGCUCACCUCAAUGGCCUAUGAUCAGCAUGUCACCAUGAUCACCAUGUAGCCAUCUGUAACCCACUUUUGUAUAAUAUUGCCAUGUCCCCCAAAGUGUACUCUCACCUUAUGCUUGGUUUAUACUUGCUAGCCUUUUCUAGUGCCAUGGCCCACACUGGAUGCAUGCUGAGACUGACCUUCUGUGAUGCAAACACCAUCCAUCCCUAUUUGUGUGACAUCCUCCCUCUGCUCCAGCUCUCUUGCACCGGCACCUACAUCAAUGAGCUGGUGGUUUCCAUUGCAGCAGUCAUUAUUUUCCACUGUCACCAUAUUUAUCUCUUGUGGUUGCAGCUCCUACAUCAUCCUCCACAUCAACUCCAAGGAGGGCAGGUCCAAAGCCUUGAACACCUGCAGUUCCAACCUAAUUGCUGUUUCUCUUAGUUUGGAUCGUGUGCAUUUAUGUGUCUCAAACCAUCUUCUGCUGGGUCCAUGGAUGAGGGAAAGAUUUCUUCUGUCUUUUACACCAAUACAGCUCCCUUGAUGAACCCCUUAAUCUACAGUUUGAUGAAUAAAAUGUUCAACUUUCUCUGAGAAAAA